UACGGAAGGCAGCAGUGGGGAAUAUUGCACAAUGGGCGCAAGCCUGAUGCAGCCAUGCCGCGUGUAUGAAGAAGGCCUUCGGGUUGUAAAGUACUUUCAGUCGUGAGGAAGGUGUUAAGGUUAAUAACCUUAGCAAUUGACGUUAGCGACAGAAGAAGCACCGGCUAACUCCGUGCCAGCAGCCGCGGUAAUACGGAGGGUGCGAGCGUUAAUCGGAAUUACUGGGCGUAAAGGGCACGCAGGCGGUUAAUUAAGUUGGAUGUGAAAUCCCCGGGCUUAACCUGGGAAUGGCAUUCAAGACUGGUUAGCUAGAGUCUUGUAGAGGGGGUUAGAAUUCCAUGUGUAGCGGUGAAAUGCGUAGAGAUGUGGAGGAAUACCGGUGGCGAAGGCGGCCCCCUGGACAAAGGACUGACACUCAUGUGCGAAAGCUGGGGAGCAAACAGGAUUAGAUACC
Molecule: ribosomal RNA, 454 nt
Filed under: uncultured bacterium
Lineage: Bacteria
Description: bacterial SSU rRNA
Rfam family: Bacterial small subunit ribosomal RNA
Source: RNAcentral